AGAGUUUGAUCCUGGCUCAGAUUGAACGCUGGCGGAAUGCUUUACACAUGCAAGUCGAGCGGCAGCGCGGGGGCAACCCUGGCGGCGAGCGGCGAACGGGUGAGUAAUGUAUCGGAACGUACCCUGUCGUGGGGGAUAACACAGCGAAAGCUGUGCUAAUACCGCAUACGACCUGAGGGUGAAAGCGGGGGAUCGCAAGACCUCGCGCGAUAGGAGCGGCCGAUAUCGGAUUAGCUUGUUGGUGAGGUAAAGGCUCACCAAGGCGACGAUCCGUAGCUGGUCUGAGAGGACGACCAGCCACACUGGAACUGAGACACGGUCCAGACUCCUACGGGAGGCAGCAGUGGGGAAUUUUGGACAAUGGGGGCAACCCUGAUCCAGCCAUUCCGCGUGAGUGAAGAAGGCCUUCGGGUUGUAAAGCUCUUUCAGCAGGAACGAAACGGUGGCUACUAAUACUAGCUACUAAUGACGGUACCUGAAGAAGAAGCACCGGCUAACUACGUGCCAGCAGCCGCGGUAAUACGUAGGGUGCGAGCGUUAAUCGGAAUUACUGGGCGUAAAGCGUGCGCAGGCGGUUAUGUAAGACAGGUGUGAAAUCCCCGGGCUUAACCUGGGAACUGCGCUUGUGACUGCAUAACUCGAGUGUGGCAGAGGGGGGUGGAAUUCCACGUGUAGCAGUGAAAUGCGUAGAGAUGUGGAGGAACACCGAUGGCGAAGGCAGCCCCCUGGGUCAACACUGACGCUCAUGCACGAAAGCGUGGGGAGCAAACAGGAUUAGAUACCCUGGUAGUCCACGCCCUAAACGAUGCGAACUAGGUGUUGGGGAAGGAGACUUUCUUAGUACCGCAGCUAACGCGUGAAGUUCGCCGCCUGGGGAGUACGGUCGCAAGAUUAAAACUCAAAGGAAUUGACGGGGACCCGCACAAGCGGUGGAUGAUGUGGAUUAAUUCGAUGCAACGCGAAGAACCUUACCUGGGUUUGACAUGUGGCUGGAUGCUGCGGGAAACCGCGGAGGCUUUCGAGGCUGCCACACAGGUGCUGCAUGGCUGUCGUCAGCUCGUGCCGUGAGGUGUUAGGUUAAGUCCUGCAACGAGCGCAACCCCUGUGGCUAGUUGCCAUCAAGUAAUGUUGGGCACUCUAGUCAGACUGCCUGUGAUAAGCAGGAGGAAGGUGGGGAUGACGUCAAGUCAGUAUGGUCCUUAUAUCCAGGGCUGCAAACGUGUUACAAUGGAGGGUACAGAGAGAUGCAAAGCCGCGAGGUAGAGCAAAUCCAAAAAACCCUCCCCAGUUCAGAUUGGAGUCUGCAACUCGACUCCAUGAAGCCGGAAUCGCUAGUAAUGGCGCAUCAGCUACGGCGCCGUGAAUACGUUCCCGGGCCUUGUACACACCGCCCGUCACAUCAUGAAAGCCGAUUGCAC
RNAcentral lists this ribosomal RNA (1418 nucleotides) under metagenome. RNAcentral describes it as "bacterial SSU rRNA". It matches the Rfam family "Bacterial small subunit ribosomal RNA". The record is from RNAcentral.